RNAcentral lists this small RNA (344 nucleotides) under Arabidopsis thaliana (thale cress). RNAcentral's name for it is "ATSL225240". The record is from RNAcentral. Lineage: Eukaryota; Viridiplantae; Streptophyta; Magnoliopsida; Brassicales; Brassicaceae.
AAUAAUCUACAUAUACAUUUUUGGGGAAGAUUUGUGUCGAAAAAUCAUUUUUCAAUUUCGAUAUUGUAUGUUUAGUCCCUACAAAAUCAAUCAGACAAGAUUGUCUUCUUUAUGACAAUGACCAAAUUUUUGAUCAAUUAUUCACGUUUUGCACUAAUUACUUACCUAAACAAAAAUAUUAUUUUGCACUACCCUCAUAAAUUGCACACAUUAAUCCCUUGAAUCUCUACUAAUUCAAUAUUACACGAAAUAAUAUUCCCUAAAAAUCCGAACAACCAAAUAACUAACCAUAUCUUUACUUACUUCAUUUCAAAAUCUCUAAUCAGCAUUUUCACAACUCUUUA